Molecule: non-coding RNA, 751 nt
Organism: Oryctolagus cuniculus (rabbit)
Lineage: Eukaryota; Metazoa; Chordata; Mammalia; Lagomorpha; Leporidae
Source: RefSeq, a predicted model, not a curated record
AUUCAGGAAGUAAACCAGUGGAUGAAAGACAUCUCUCUAGUCUCACAGGCAUAGAAAGCCAUGACACGGUGGCAAAAAACAAUUUAACUGAAAGAUCCUGGUGAACAAGACCCUAGCAGAAGGAUCAGGCCAUCAAGGAGAGAGGCGCCUUUCUCUGAAGGGAGGAAGGAACCUCCACUGUGAUACGGCCUUGACUAAACAAAUUCAGAGCCUAGACAGCUCAUAGCAAGAGUCUCGGGUGAUUGCUGACAUCAUAAAUAAGAGUGCCAAUUGUUAAAUCAACAAAGGGAGUCACUGGGUUCAUGCUCCCCAUGCAGGAUCUCUGUCCUUGAUGUGUUUAACUAUGAAACUCAAAAGCAACACUACUAGACGAACAAUACCCUAUACCUGGUUCGGUUGUGUGAGUGCAGCCUGUUGAAAUCCCUGCUUAGUAUAUACUAAGUUGAUCAUCAGUAUAUGAAGGCCGAAUAAAGUGUAAAGUUGGUUCCAAACUACAUCAUAGAAACAGGGAAGACUGGAACUUUGCUGAAGAAUGAAUGGAGAUGGCAAGAAGUUGGUCACCUCCACUAACACCAUCCCUGAGUAUCUGGAAAAUCUUAUUCCUAUCCAACUGUUAAUGUUCUCCUAAUUACAAUUUCACUUGCUUCCCUAGUUUGUGCUAUACUAUAUCAUUCAUUUGAACUUACUGUGAUUGAUCUAUGUCAACAUUAACUAUACUCACAAGGAAGUCAAUAAAUAAAGUUCAAUAGUU